Molecule: transfer RNA, 90 nt
Filed under: Athelia sp. TMB
Lineage: Eukaryota; Fungi; Basidiomycota; Agaricomycetes; Atheliales; Atheliaceae
Rfam family: tRNA
About the family: Transfer RNA (tRNA) molecules are approximately 80 nucleotides in length. Their secondary structure includes four short double-helical elements and three loops (D, anti-codon, and T loops).
Source: Rfam by way of RNAcentral
GGCGCGAUGGCCGAGCGGUCUAAGGCGCUAGAAUCAGGAUGUUGUCCUAUCUAGUCUUCACGGGCGGGGGUUCGAAUCCCCCUCGCGUCA